UAACAAUGAUUUCCCUAGUAACGGCGAGUGAACAGGAAAAAGCUCAAAGUUGGAACCUGUUUGGCCUAGCUAAACCGGAUUGUAAACUGUAGAAGUGUUUUCCAGGCAAGCCGGACCGAUAAGUCCUUUGGAACAGGGCAUCAUAGAGGGUGAGAAUCCCGUCUUCGGUCUGAGCAUUUGCCUUUUGCGAUACACUUUCAAAGAGUCAGGUUGUUUGGGAAUGCAGCCUAAAUUGGGUGGUAAAUCUCACAUAAAGCUAAAUAUUGGCGAGAAACCGAUAGCGAACAAGUACCGUGAGGGAAAGAUGAAAAGAACUUUGAAAAGAGAGUUAAACAGUAUGUGAAAUUGUUAAAAGGGAACCGUUUGGAGCCAGACUGGCUUGUCUGUAAUCAGUCUAAGUUUCGGCUUGGAUGCACUUGCAGGCUAUGCCUGCCAACGACAAUUUGGCUUGAGGGAAAAAACUAGGGGAAAUGUGGCCCAUUCGUGGGUGUUAUAGUCCCUUAGAAAAUACCUUGGGCUGGAUUGAGGUACGCAGCGAAUGCUAUUUGGCGAGUUGGCUGGGAAUAUUUUCUGAGGUGCUCCGGUACUGAGGUUGAUAUUUCCAGUUACACUUCUAUUCGCUUAGGUUGUUGGCUUAAUGAU
Molecule: ribosomal RNA, 642 nt
Filed under: Rhizopus microsporus var. microsporus
Lineage: Eukaryota; Fungi; Mucoromycota; Mucoromycetes; Mucorales; Rhizopodaceae
Description: eukaryotic LSU rRNA
Rfam family: Eukaryotic large subunit ribosomal RNA
Source: RNAcentral